CCAGGCCCUACGGGGUGCAGCAGGCGCGAAAACUUUACAAUGCUGGGAACAGCGAUAAGGGAACCUCGAGUGCCAGGUUACAAAUCUGGCUGUCGUGAUGCCUAAAAAGCAUUAUAUAGCAAGGGCCGGGCAAGACCGGUGCCAGCCGCCGCGGUAACACCGGCGGCUCGAGUGGUAACCGUUAUUAUUGGGUCUAAAGGGUCUGUAGCCGGCCGGAUAAGUCUCUUGGGAAAUCUGGCAGCUCAACUGUCAGGCUUUCAGGGGAUACUGUCUGGCUCGAGGCCGGGAGAGGUGAGAGGUACUUCAGGGGUAGGGGUGAAAUCUUGUAAUCCUUGAAGGACCACCAGUGGCGAAGGCGUCUCACCAGAACGGACCUGACGGCAAGGGACGAAAGCUAGGGGCACGAACCGGAUUAGAUACCCGGGUAGUCCUAGCCGUAAACGAUACUCGCUAGGUGUCGGCCACGGUGCGACCGUUGUCGGUGCCGUAGGGAAGCCGUGAAGCGAGCCACCUGGGAAGUACGGCCGCAAGGCUGAAACUUAAAGGAAUUGGCGGGGGAGCACAACAACGGGUGGAGCUUGCGGUUUAAUUGGAUUCAACGCCGGAAAUCUUACCGGGACCGACAGCAACAGAAGGCCAAGCGAAGAGUA
Molecule: ribosomal RNA, 650 nt
Filed under: uncultured archaeon
Lineage: Archaea
Description: bacterial SSU rRNA
Rfam family: Archaeal small subunit ribosomal RNA
Source: RNAcentral